UCCCCCACUGCUGCCUGCAGAAAUGCCUCCCGAGGCAGUGCAGGAAGCCCCCUGUCUGCCUCCCGGGCCCCGGGCCUCAGCCUCCGUGCGCGCCCCCACGCGGGCUCCUUCACCGACGGGGAGGACCGAGACUGGCCCCGGAGGCGCUCGCACCCCGCGGCGGGGGUCGGGAGAGGCAGCCUGGCCCCAGCUCCUUCCCUCGGGCUGCGCUGAGUGAGAAACGGGGUCCCCGGACCGCCCCCGCCCCGAGGCUUCGGCGCCCGGACUUACCUCCUCCGGUCACCGAGACCUGGGCCAGGCUGGGGUGAUGCUGGCUUCCUGCUAUUUUUAGCCCCUGGUGUUCAUCAUCCCUUGUGGAUUCUCUUACCGCUGAGUCUGCAGGCAAAUCUUACUACUUAUUUCACUAAGCUACUCCGUCUCCCUAAGCUGAAAUCUUUCACCUGUAAAAUGAAGUACUAACCCUACGGCAGGUGGAAAAAGUUCCAUAAGGAUGUCUGCCUGACAGAGUGUGGCGCCUGGCCCACAGAAGACCCCAACCCUUGACAGGCAAGGAAACUGAGGCUUGUGGAGUUUAUUUACAGCCUAAGCAAGCUCAUUCCGUUGGAGAGUGGUGGAACUGGCUCUCCGCCCCCAGCUCUGAUGCCUAACCGCUGCGGAGAUGUCUGCUGGCUCUUCUCUCUCCCACCUGUGACUUCCUGCAUCCAGGGAACUUCUGCUUCUGGUCGGUUCUUCCGCAGCACGGGGAAUCAUGCAAUUACAAGAUUUAGGCAUAUUCUCCCUUGCAGGGAGGGCUGGGAGCACCCCUCGGGCAGGGGGAUUGCUCAGCAAGUAGCAGUGGGUGGACACACACAGGGAUCUCUCUUGACAUUAUAAAAUCCAAGGAUUGGGUUGAGGGUACUGAGUGUCAGAAGUACCUUUGGACCCUAUUCCUGUGGUCCUGGAUCAGGGCCCUAGAAUUCAGAUUCCCAAACAAAGGCAAGGCCUAUCAUUAACAACCUCCCUCAGAACUGACCCAACUCACCUGUGGCUCUGAGGAGCCAGAUGGAGGUUGGUGAGUGGGGGGCACUGCCCGCACUUGCCCAGGGCCCUCUGUUUGGGGUUAGCUCUGAACCCCUUGCCGGUCGGGCUCUGAGAGGCCCAUGGGCUCUCUCAUGAGCUGGCCAGAGGAGAUACUGUCUCACUGGAGUUUGGGCCAAGACUGGCCAAAGGGGCUCUAGUCAAGCAACUGGUCUCACCCAGCCCCAGACCUCAGUUUUAGA
This is a long non-coding RNA of Mustela erminea (ermine), 1259 nucleotides long. RefSeq lists it as uncharacterized. NCBI's taxonomy places the organism in Eukaryota, Metazoa, Chordata, Mammalia, Carnivora, Mustelidae. The transcript is spliced from 4 exons. The record is from RefSeq and is a predicted model, not a curated record.